CAUCGUUCUCAGGGCGGGGUGCAAUUCCCCACCGGCGGUGAGCAGGAUUCCUGUAAGCCCGCGAGCGCUUCGUUUUUUGACGAAGGUCAGCAGAUUUGGUGUGAUUCCAAAGCCGACGGUCAUAGUCCGGAUGAAAGAGAGCGGGA
This 146-nucleotide non-coding RNA is filed under the name Pacificibacter marinus. RNAcentral describes it as "FMN sequence". It matches the Rfam family "FMN riboswitch aptamer (RFN element)". From Rfam's summary of the family: The RFN element is a highly conserved domain that is found frequently in the 5'-untranslated regions of prokaryotic mRNAs that encode for flavin mononucleotide (FMN) biosynthesis and transport proteins. The record is from Rfam by way of RNAcentral. Lineage: Bacteria; Pseudomonadati; Pseudomonadota; Alphaproteobacteria; Rhodobacterales; Roseobacteraceae.